This 534-nucleotide ribosomal RNA is filed under the name Pseudoparlatoria parlatorioides. RNAcentral describes it as "eukaryotic LSU rRNA". The record is from RNAcentral. Lineage: Eukaryota; Metazoa; Arthropoda; Insecta; Hemiptera; Diaspididae.
AUCUGGGCGGCGAAAUUCAGGAUGGCUGGGCUGGCCUCGCGCUGGUUCGGCCGUUUGAUGUUUUCGUCGCCACUCGCAGACGUCGCGACCUGUUCGUCGUCGGUCCCUGCUCGGAGGAAUCGCUGUCGAGUUCGUUGUGGGCGCGUUUCGGCGCGUUUCACGGCGAAGACGCGGAUCUCUGGCUGACGACGGACAGUAAGCAACGGUGGCCGGCGUCGUGUCUCGCACGCGACGUCGGUGCCGGUCAGCGACGAUUUCUUCGGGCCUCUUUCCGACCCGUCUUGAAACACGGACCAAGGAGUCUAACAUGCGCGCGAGUCGCGGGGUAUCGAGCGUACCACGGUGCGCUCGUUACGUCACGAAACCCGUAAUGUUGAAGGCGUAAUGAAAGUGAAUGGGGAAGAUGGCGUUCCGAGUACACGUUCCGUGGUCUAGUAUCGCGGCCGGACGCCCGCAUUCCCGGGGCGUCUCAACGGCUCGUCGCGAAUGCGGACGGUCGCCUUUCGGGGUGGCCGUCGGUUUGCGACGGACCGA